GAUGAACGCUGGCGGCGUGCCUAAUACAUGCAAGUCGAGCGAAUGGAUUAAGAGCUUGCUCUUAUGAAGUUAGCGGCGGACGGGUGAGUAACACGUGGGUAACCUGCCCAUAAGACUGGGAUAACUCCGGGAAACCGGGGCCAAUAACGGAUAACAUUUUGAACCGCAUGGUUCGAAAUUGAAAGGCGGCUUCGGCUGUCACGGAUGGAUGGACCCGCGUCGCAUUAGCUAGUUGGUGAGGUAACGGCUCACCAAGGCAACGAUGCGUAGCCGACCUGAGAGGGUGAUCGGCCACACUGGGACUGAGACACGGCCCAGACUCCUACGGGAGGCAGCAGUAGGGAAUCUUCCGCAAUGGACGAAAGUCUGACGGAGCAACGCCGCGUGAGUGAUGAAGGCUUUCGGGUCGUAAAACUCUGUUGUUAGGGAAGAACAAGUGCUAGUUGAAUAAGCUGGCACCUUGACGGUACCUAACCAGGAAGCCACGGCUAACUACGUGCCAGCAGCCGCCGUAA
Molecule: ribosomal RNA, 515 nt
Filed under: uncultured bacterium
Lineage: Bacteria
Description: partial 16S ribosomal RNA
Rfam family: Bacterial small subunit ribosomal RNA
Source: RNAcentral